Molecule: long non-coding RNA, 260 nt
Organism: Lolium rigidum
Lineage: Eukaryota; Viridiplantae; Streptophyta; Magnoliopsida; Poales; Poaceae
Exons: 3
Source: RefSeq, a predicted model, not a curated record
UAUCAUCGCGGCGCGCCGCUCAUGUCGUCUUGGCGGUGGCUAUCGUCCCGGCGCGUGUUUGGGUGGUCGCCGGCGCGUCCAUGUUCUUGUCUGCGUGCUGCUCCAUUUAUAACCUGCAUCUAGGAAGGGGCAUGACUUAAUGUGAAAUGGAUGAGCGGAAAGAGCUAUUUCUGAAAGUAGGCUACAACCAGGAGGGCGCACCAUCUUGCAGUUCAAGAGGCUCUUAAUAUGAAUGAAUCUGAACUGCAUGGUCGUCAGAU